Pelobates cultripes (western spadefoot toad) is the source of this 213-nucleotide non-coding RNA. NCBI's taxonomy places the organism in Eukaryota, Metazoa, Chordata, Amphibia, Anura, Pelobatidae. The record is from the annotation of a GenBank genome assembly.
UGUCCUCUUGUUGUGGUAGUUUUUCUUCUUUUAAAUAUAGUCUCCUCCUUUACUGUGUUGAUUCCCUUUAUAUAUUUAAAUGUUUCUAUCAUAUCCCCCUUGUCUCGUCUUUCCUCCAAGCUAUACAUGUUAAGAUCCUUUAACCUUUCCUGGUAAGUUUUAUCCCGCAAUCCAUGAACCAGUUUAGUAGCCCUUCUCUGAACCCUCUCUAAG